Molecule: ribosomal RNA, 561 nt
Filed under: uncultured bacterium
Lineage: Bacteria
Description: bacterial SSU rRNA
Rfam family: Bacterial small subunit ribosomal RNA
Source: RNAcentral
CCUACGGGAGGCAGCAGUGGGGAAUAUUGGACAAUGGGCGAAAGCCUGAUCCAGCAAUGCCGCGUGAGUGAAGAAGGCCUUCGGGUUGUAAAGCUCUUUUACCCGGGAAGAUAAUGACCGUACCGGGAGAAUAAGCCCCGGCUAACUCCGUGCCAGCAGCCGCGGUAAUACGGAGGGGGCUAGCGUUGUUCGGAAUCACUGGGCGUAAAGCGUGCGUAGGCGGCCAUUCAAGUCAGAGGUGAAAGCCCAGGGCUCAACCCUGGAACUGCCUUUGAAACUAGGUGGCUGGAACACGGGAGAGGUGAGUGGAAUUCCGAGUGUAGAGGUGAAAUUCGUAGAUAUUCGGAAGAACACCAGUGGCGAAGGCGGCUCACUGGACCGUUGUUGACGCUGAGGCACGAAAGCGUGGGGAGCAAACAGGAUUAGAUACCCUGGUAGUCCACGCCGUAAACGAUGAUAACUAGCUGUUGGGGCUCUUUGAGCUCCAGUGGCGCAGCUAACGCAUUAAGUUAUCCGCCUGGGGAGUACGGCCGCAAGGUUAAAACUCAAAGGAAUUGACGG